RNAcentral lists this long non-coding RNA (1345 nucleotides) under Homo sapiens (human). Its description in RNAcentral is "non-protein coding lnc-PYURF-3:13". The record is from RNAcentral. Lineage: Eukaryota; Metazoa; Chordata; Mammalia; Primates; Hominidae.
GUUAAGCGUUGUGCGCCGCGGCCGGGCGCGGUGAUUCACGCCUGUAAUCCCAGCACUUUGGGGGGCCGAGGCGGGCGGAUCACGACGUCAGGAGAUCGAGACCAUUCUGGCUAACACGUAUCGAUAGAUGCUGGAGGCAGAUAAGGGAGGGUCCCUGGAGAAUCUCUGACCUGCCUCACAAGCUUUUGUGCAGCUGAGGAAGCCUGCCCAGGGUCUUGUCUGGGCAUGCCCACAAGGGACUUGGGGGCCCACUGCACCAGGAGAGUGGGGUGCAGCCAGAGGGAAUUCAGCCUUAUGCAGCAGGGAUGAGCAAGAAGUCUUCAGCUUGUGUGUGUUGGCCUGUUAUUCAGUCUGUGAGCUGGGAGCCUGUUGGCAGGACCCUCCUUGUUUUUUUGCUAAGAGCUUUUAAUAAAUGCCACUCUUCACCUUGCAAUGUAUUCACAUGCCUAAUUGUUCCUGGUCAUGAGACAAGAACCUGGAUUUUAGCUGAGCUAAGGAGCAAAAAUUCCUGCAUCAGUAUGAGGUAAGAAUAAAGGUUCUUUUUUUUCCUUAUGGAUUUCCAGUCGUUCCAGCUUGCCUAUCCCCAUGGAAUUGCCUUGGCAUCCCUGUCAAAACUCAGCUGGCCGUAUAUUAUAACCUCAGAGCCAGCCCAAACUGGCCCUACUCUGUUGAUAACAAAAUGGCCAGUUACCCUGUAGGUAUAACAGAGCCAAAACUGCAAGUUAUGUAGACUGGGCAUGUGCCAUGGAAAAAGCUUUGACCUCUAACAAUGAAACGGGAAAGGUUCCCUUGUCCCCUUCGUAGGGCAUGCGGCAGUGGGAGUGGGUCGCUUCUUCAGUGCCCCACUGCUCACACCUCUAGGGGAGCAUACAGACAGGCAGGUUUUGGGGCUCCAACCCCACGCCAGUGUCUAGGGGUGGAUGUUUACUGCUCCUGAAGCACCAGUGGGCUGUGCUACUGUGUGCUUUUUUAGUUUUGCUGUCUAUAGGCACUUGUGUUAACCAGCUCAAUUAGACCCUCUACCUUGUCACAAGGACAGAAGACUUUCUGUAUCCCAGGUUCUUGCCUUGGUGUACCAGAAGAAUUGUAUCACAUGUGGGCUUAGAGAAUGAGUGCACGGUUUUAUUGAGUGGAAGUAGCUCUCAGCAGAUGGGGGAGCCAGAAGGGAGUUGGUUUUCCCCUGGAGUUGAGCCGCUCAGCGGCCCAGGCUGUCCUCCGACUGCCCUGGCCAAACUCCGCAUUGUUCUGCUGGUCGAUGGCCUGCCAGUGCUAGUGCCUUUAGAAUGGUACUUGCCACACAGUACCUACUAUAAGUAAUUAUUCAAUGAAUUAAUGAAUCCCUUAA